Molecule: ribosomal RNA, 252 nt
Filed under: uncultured bacterium
Lineage: Bacteria
Description: partial 16S ribosomal RNA
Rfam family: Bacterial small subunit ribosomal RNA
Source: RNAcentral
UACAGAGGGUGCAAGCGUUGUUCGGAAUUAUUGGGCGUAAAGCGCGCGCAGGCGGUUGUUUAAGUCUGAUGUUAAAUCCCGAGGCUCAACCUCGGUCCGCAUUGGAAACUGAACGACUGGAGUGCAGAAGAGGAGAGUGGAAUUCCACGUGUAGCGGUGAAAUGCGUAGAGAUGUGGAGGAACACCCGUGGCGAAGGCGGCUCUCUGGGACGGUACUGACGCUGAGACGCGAAAGCGUGGGGAGCGAACAGG